CAAAGAUGAUAUUGUUUGUAAGCAUGCUCUUGUAUAGUAAUUAAAAUUAUAUAGCUUACAUUUUCAUUUACAUAAACUGUGUUAAUAGUUCUAAAUUAUCAAGUGGUAUUUAAGUUACUUAGUUGUACUGCUCAUGAUAUGGCAUAGUAGAUAUUAGAAUCAGCCAUUUUUCAUUUUAAAUUAGUUAUAAAAUUUUGACCCACUAGUGUUUAAAUGGUUUCUAUUUAUUAUUUCUAGCCUAUAAUAUUGUUUCCUUAUAUUAUUUGUCUUUAAAAGAAAAUUUGCUAUAUUCAAUGAUAAAUGUAUUUUAAUAAAAUUCCUUCUAUAAAAAUUUAGAAUGUUAUUUUUGCAGGCUUAGACUUCAUUAAAGAAACACAAAAUGAAGCUGGUGAUUUGUACAAUUGUUUUCUUUGUGGAGCAUGCACAUCUUCUUAUGAUAUUAUUGAACAUCUUAUUCAACCAAAGCAUAAAGUUAAAUACUUGGAGACCCUAAAUGCAAGAGGGUGCGAAAACUUUAUAGAAAAUAUUAAAUCUUUGUCUGAUGUCUCUGCUCGUUCUAAGGAAUGUAUGAUUGAUGAAGAAUGCCGUAA
Non-coding RNA from Parasteatoda tepidariorum (common house spider), 590 nucleotides. The record is from RefSeq and is a predicted model, not a curated record. Lineage: Eukaryota; Metazoa; Arthropoda; Arachnida; Araneae; Theridiidae.